CCGAAUGCUUGCUUCACCGUAAGAAGUUGAGUGGCGGACGGGUGAGUAACACGUGGGUAACCUGCCUAAAAGAAGGGGAUAACACUUGGAAACAGGUGCUAAUACCGUAUAUCUCUAAGGAUCGCAUGAUCCUUAGAUGAAAGAUGGUUCUGCUAUCGCUUUUAGAUGGACCCGCGGCGUAUUAACUAGUUGGUGGGGUAACGGCCUACCAAGGUGAUGAUACGUAGCCGAACUGAGAGGUUGAUCGGCCACAUUGGGACUGAGACACGGCCCAAACUCCUACGGGAGGCAGCAGUAGGGAAUCUUCCACAAUGGACGCAAGUCUGAUGGAGCAACGCCGCGUGAGUGAAGAAGGUCUUCGGAUCGUAAAACUCUGUUGUUAGAGAAGAACACGAGUGAGAGUAACUGUUCAUUCGAUGACGGUAUCUAACCAGCAAGUCACGGCUAACUACGUGCCAGCAGCCGCGGUAAUACGUAGGUGGCAAGCGUUGUCCGGAUUUAUUGGGCGUAAAGGGAACGCAGGCGGUCUUUUAAGUCUGAUGUGAAAGCCUUCGGCUUAACCGGAGUAGUGCAUUGGAAACUGGAAGACUUGAGUGCAGAAGAGGAGAGUGGAACUCCAUGGGUA
Molecule: ribosomal RNA, 625 nt
Filed under: Ligilactobacillus salivarius
Lineage: Bacteria; Bacillati; Bacillota; Bacilli; Lactobacillales; Lactobacillaceae
Description: bacterial SSU rRNA
Rfam family: Bacterial small subunit ribosomal RNA
Source: RNAcentral